UAAGGAAAAAGAGAAGGGCGCACGGGGGAUGCCUAGGCUCUCGGAGGCGAAGAAGGACGCGACAAGCUGCGAAAAGCUGCGGGGAGGCGCAAAUGGUCUGAGAUCCGCAGGUGUCCGAAUGGGGGAACCCGGCCGGCUGAAGGCCGGCCACUCCACCGGAAAGGUGGAGGGCGAACGCGGGGAACUGAAACAUCUAAGUACCCGCAGGAGAAGAGAACAAGAGUGAUUCCGCCGGUAGUGGCGAGCGAAAGCGGAGGAGCCCAAACCGUCGGGGUUGCGGCCCCGGCGGGGUAGUAGGACUGAGGAAUGGACUUGCGGAGGUUAUCGGAACUAUCUGGAAAGGUAGGCCGGAGAGGGUGAAAGCCCCGUAUGAGAAAACGAUCCGCAUACCGAUCAGUAUCCUGAGUAAGGCGGGACCGGAGGAAUCCUGUCUGAAUCGGCCGGCACCAUCCGGCAAGGCUAAAUACUCCCGAGAGACCGAUAGUGGACAAGUACCGUGAGGGAAAGGUGAAAAGGACCCCGAACAGGGGAGUGAAAUAGUACCUGAAACCGUGCGCUUACAAGCGGUCGGAGCCCUUUAGGGGGUGACGGCGUGCCUUUUGCAUAAUGAGCCUACGAGUUGCGGUGACCGGCGAGGUUAAGGGCCAGGAGGCCCGGAGCCGAAGUGAAAGCGAGCCUGAAGAGGGCGUAGAGUCGGUUGCUGCAGACGCGAAACUUAGUGAUCUACCCAUGGGCAGGCUGAAGGACGGGUGACACCGUCUGGAGGGCCGAACCGAUAAGCGUUGAAAAGCUUCCGGAUGACCUGUGGGUAGGGGUGAAAGGCCAAUCAAACUGAGAGAUAGCUCGUACUCCCCGAAAUGUCUUUAGGGACAGCCUCGCGGGUGUGUGAUACGGAGGUAGAGCUACGGAUAGGAUGCGGGGGUUUCACCGCCUGCCAAGUCCUGACAAACUCCGAAUGCCGUAUCAUAGACGCGGGAGUGAGGGCGCGGGUGCUAACGUCCGUGUCCGAGAGGAGAAGAAUCCAGACUGCCGGCUAAGGUCCCCAAGUGCGGGUUAAGUUGAAAAUAACGCGGUUCCGGAGCAGAGACAGCCAGGAUGUUGGCUUGGAAGCAGCCAUACAUUCAAAGAGUGCGUAACAGCUCACUGGUCGAGCGCCGGAGCAUGGAUAAUAAGCGGGCAUGAAAUCCGCCACCGAAGCUGCAGAACUGAGAAGUUGGUAGGGGAGCAUUCCAUUUUCGUAGAAGGUGAGCCGAAAGGCUUGCUGGAGGGAAUGGAAAAGCAAAUGUAGGCAUAAGUAACGAGAAGGCGGGCGAGAAACCCGCCCACCGAAAGACCAAGGUUUCCUGAUCAACGCUAAUCGGAUCAGGGUAAGCCGGGACCUAAGGAUAAGCCGAAGGGCGAUUCCGAUGGGAAGCCGUUGAAGAUUACGGCGCCGGCGCAUGCUGCGAAGCGGGGACGAAGGAGUGAACCGUCCGCGCGCUGACGGAAUAGCGCGUUGAAGGGUGUAGGUAGACGCCUCCCAGGGAAGUCCGGGGGGAGUGCCGAACCUGACAGUACCGCGAGGCUUCGGCCGGGCGGACAGAGGCGGAAAGCAGGCUUCCGAGAAAAGCCGCUAAGCUACAGGCAUGCGGUGCCCGUACCGUAAACCGACACAGGUGGUCGAGGAGAGGAUCCAAAGGUGCUCGAGAGAUUCAUGGCUAAGGAACUAGGCAAAAUGACCCUGUAACUUCGGGAGAAAGGGUGCCCGCCUGACGGCGGGCCGCAGAGGAGAGGCCCAGGCGACUGUUUAACAAAAACACAAGGCUAUGCGAAAUUGAAAAGAUGAAGUAUAUGGCCUGACACCUGCCCGGUGCCGGAAGGUUAAGAGGAGAGGUUAGCGCAAGCGAAGCUUUGAAUCGAAGCCCCGGUAAACGGCGGCCGUAACUAUAACGGUCCUAAGGUAGCGAAAUUCCUUGUCGGGUAAGUUCCGACCUGCACGAAUGGUGUAA
Molecule: ribosomal RNA, 1988 nt
Filed under: bacterium
Lineage: Bacteria
Description: partial 23S ribosomal RNA
Rfam family: Bacterial large subunit ribosomal RNA
Source: RNAcentral